GACGAACGCUGGCGGCGUGCUUAACACAUGCAAGUCGAACGGACAGGCCCUGCUUUUGUGGGGUGCUCGAGUGGCGAACGGGUGAGUAACACGUGAGUAACCUGCCCUUGACUUUGGGAUAACUUCAGGAAACUGGGGCUAAUACCGGAUAGGAGCUCCUGCUGCAUGGUGGGGGUUGGAAAGUUUCGGCGGUUGGGGAUGGACUCGCGGCUUAUCAGCUUGUUGGUGGGGUAGUGGCCUACCAAGGCUUUGACGGGUAGCCGGCCUGAGAGGGUGACCGGCCACAAUGGGACUGAGAUACGGCCCAGACUCCUACGGGAGGCAGCAGUGGGGAAUAUUGCACAAUGGGCGGAAGCCUGAUGCAGCAACGCCGCGUGCGGGAUGACGGCCUUCGGGUUGUAAACCGCUUUCGCCUGUGACGAAGCGUGAGUGACGGUAAUGGGUAAAGAAGCACCGGCUAACUACGUG
RNAcentral lists this ribosomal RNA (468 nucleotides) under uncultured bacterium. RNAcentral's name for it is "partial 16S ribosomal RNA". It matches the Rfam family "Bacterial small subunit ribosomal RNA", at positions 28 to 507 of the family's 1533-position model. The record is from RNAcentral.